GACGAACGCUGGCGGCGUGCUUAACACAUGCAAGUCGAACGGUAAGGCCCUUCGGGGUACACGAGUGGCGAACGGGUGAGUAACACGUGGGUGAUCUGCCCUGCACUUCGGGAUAAGCCUGGGAAACUGGGUCUAAUACCGGAUAGGACCACUGCCUGCAUGGGUGGUGGUGGAAAGCUUUUGCGGUGUGGGAUGGGCCCGCGGCCUAUCAGCUUGUUGGUGGGGUGAUGGCCUACUAAGGCGACGACGGGUAGCCGGCCUGAGAGGGUGACCGGCCACACUGGGACUGAGAUACGGCCCAGACCCCUACGGGAGGCAGCAGUGGGGAAUAUUGCACAAUGGGCGCAAGCCUGAUGCAGCGACGCCGCGUGAGGGAUGACGGCCUUCGGGUUGUAAACCUCUUUCAGCACCGACGAAGCGCAAGUGACGGUAGGUGCAGAAGAAGGACCGGCCAACUACGUGCCAGCCGCCGCGGUAA
RNAcentral lists this ribosomal RNA (478 nucleotides) under uncultured bacterium. RNAcentral's name for it is "partial 16S ribosomal RNA". It matches the Rfam family "Bacterial small subunit ribosomal RNA", at positions 28 to 523 of the family's 1533-position model. The record is from RNAcentral.